Molecule: ribosomal RNA, 510 nt
Filed under: uncultured bacterium
Lineage: Bacteria
Description: partial 16S ribosomal RNA
Rfam family: Bacterial small subunit ribosomal RNA
Source: RNAcentral
GACGAACGCUGGCGGCGUGCUUAACACAUGCAAGUCGAACGAAGAGCGAUGGAACCUUGCUUCUAUCAAUCUUAGUGGCGCACGGGUGAGUAACGCGUAAUCAACCUGCCCUUCAGAGGGGGACCACAGUUGGAAACGACUGCUAAUACCGCAUACGAUCCAAUCUCGGCAUCGGGACUGGAUGAACGGUGGCCUCUAUUUAUAAGCUAUCACUGAAGGAGGGGAUUGCGUCUGAUUAGCUAGUUGGUGGGGUAACGGCCCACCAAGGCGAUGAUCAGUAGCCGGUCUGAGAGGAGGGACGGCCACAAUGGGAAUGGGAAACGGCCCAGACCCCUAAGGGAGGCAGCAGUGGGGAAUCUUCCGCAAAGGACGGAAGGCUGACGGAGGAAAGCCGGGUGAGGGAUGAAGGGCUUCGGGUUGGAAAGAUCCGUUAAUCGGGAAGAAUGGUACGUGUGCGAAUAGUGCGAGGAUUUGACGGUACCGGAAUAGAAAGCCACGGCUAACUACGUG